UGCCCGAUCGUAUAGUGGUAGUACAUCAGAUUCUGGCUCUGAUAGCCUUGGUUCGAAUCCAGGUCGGGUAACAA
Molecule: transfer RNA, 74 nt
Filed under: Sphingobacteriales bacterium 44-15
Lineage: Bacteria; Pseudomonadati; Bacteroidota; Sphingobacteriia; Sphingobacteriales
Description: tRNA-Gln
Rfam family: tRNA
About the family: Transfer RNA (tRNA) molecules are approximately 80 nucleotides in length. Their secondary structure includes four short double-helical elements and three loops (D, anti-codon, and T loops). Further hydrogen bonds mediate the characteristic L-shaped molecular structure. tRNAs have two regions of fundamental functional importance: the anti-codon, which is responsible for specific mRNA codon recognition, and the 3' end, to which the tRNAs corresponding amino acid is attached (by aminoacyl-tRNA synthetases). tRNAs cope with the degeneracy of the genetic code in two manners: having more than one tRNA (with a specific anti-codon) for a particular amino acid; and 'wobble' base-pairing, i.e. permitting non-standard base-pairing at the 3rd anti-codon position.
Source: RNAcentral